CUUUGAAAAUAGCAAACUCAUUGAAACAUGAGGACGCAAAGCUGCGGGCCAAUUUCCAUGGCAGCCGGGUUGCCAAA
RNAcentral lists this non-coding RNA (77 nucleotides) under Niallia circulans. RNAcentral's name for it is "Bacillus circulans c-di-GMP sequence". It matches the Rfam family "c-di-GMP-I riboswitch aptamer". From Rfam's summary of the family: GEMM was predicted in a large-scale screen for bacterial structured RNA regulatory elements. Genes associated with GEMM are involved in a diverse array of functions, including chemotaxis regulation, signal transduction, secretion and chitin. The record is from RNAcentral. Lineage: Bacteria; Bacillati; Bacillota; Bacilli; Caryophanales; Bacillaceae.